AACGAACGCUGGCGGCAGGCCUAACACAUGCAAGUCGAACGCUCCGCAAGGGGAGUGGCGCACGGGUGAGUAACACGUGGGAACCUACCUUCUGGUACGGAACAACCAAGGGAAACUUUGGCUAAGACCGUAUACGACCUCCGGGUGAAAGAUUGAUCGCCGGAAGAGGGGCCCGCGUCCGAUUAGGUAGUUGGUGAGGUAACGGCUCACCAAGCCUUCGAUCGGUAGCUGGUCUGAGAGGAUGACCAGCCACACUGGGACUGAGACACGGCCCAGACUCCUACGGGAGGCAGCAGUGGGGAAUAUUGGACAAUGGGCGCAAGCCUGAUCCAGCCAUGCCGCGUGAGUGAUGAAGGCCC
Molecule: ribosomal RNA, 359 nt
Filed under: uncultured bacterium
Lineage: Bacteria
Description: bacterial SSU rRNA
Rfam family: Bacterial small subunit ribosomal RNA
Source: RNAcentral